CUCACUGGAGAACUGCAGGUCUGU
RNAcentral lists this non-coding RNA (24 nucleotides) under Cricetulus griseus (Chinese hamster). Lineage: Eukaryota; Metazoa; Chordata; Mammalia; Rodentia; Cricetidae. The record is from RNAcentral.